GACGAACGCUGGCGGCGUGCUUAACACAUGCAAGUCGAACGGAAAGGCCCUGCUUUUGUGUGGUGCUCGAGUGGCGAACGGGUGAGUAACACGUGAGUAACCUGCCCUUGACUUUGGGAUAACUUCAGGAAACUGGGGCUAAUACCGGAUAGGAGCUCCUGCUGCAUGGUGUGGGUUGGAAAGUUUCGGCGGGUGGGGAUGGACUCGCGGCUUAUCAGCUUUUUGGUGGGGUAGUGGCUUACCCAGGGUUUGACGGGUCGCCGGCCUGAGAGGGUGACCCGGCACAUUGGGACUGGGGAUACGGCCGGAAUUAUACGGGGGGGAAGAAGGGGGGUAUUUGCAACAAUGGCCGAAUGCUUGAUGAGGAAACCCGGGUGGGGGAAGACGGUCUUUGGGGUGGAAACCGGUUUUGCCUGGGAAGGAGGGUGAGUGACGGUAAUUGGUAAAAGAGGAACGGCUAACUACGUG
Molecule: ribosomal RNA, 468 nt
Filed under: uncultured bacterium
Lineage: Bacteria
Description: partial 16S ribosomal RNA
Rfam family: Bacterial small subunit ribosomal RNA
Source: RNAcentral